This 1234-nucleotide ribosomal RNA is filed under the name metagenome. RNAcentral describes it as "bacterial LSU rRNA". It matches the Rfam family "Bacterial large subunit ribosomal RNA", at positions 1564 to 2808 of the family's 2925-position model. The record is from RNAcentral.
UGAGUACGAGAUGCUACGGCAUCGAAGCAGUCUAUGUCAUACUUCCAAGAAAAGCUUGCACUGUCAUAAACAAAGAAUGCCUGUACCAUAACCGACACAGGUGGGUAGGUAGAGUAUACUAAGGGGCGCGAGAUAACUCUCUCUAAGGAACUCGGCAAAAUGACUCCGUAACUUCGGGAGAAGGAGUGCCUUAUUUCUAAGGUUGCAAUAACAAGAUCCAAGCAACUGUUUACCAAAAACACAGGUCUCCGCUAAGUCGUAAGACGAUGUAUGGGGGCUGACGCCUGCCCAGUGCCAGAAGGUUAAAGAAGUUGGUUAGCAUUAGCGAAGCUGAUAACUGAAGCCCUGGUGAACGGCGGCCGUAACAAUAACGGUCCUAAGGUAGCGAAAUUCCUUGUCGGGUAAGUUCCGACCCGCACGAAAGGCGUAAUGAUUUGGAUACUGUCUCGGAGAGGGGCUCGGUGAAAUAGACUUGUCUGUGAAGAUGCGGACUACCUGCACCUGGACAGAAAGACCCUAUGAAGCUUUACUGUAACUUGAGAUUGAAAUUGGACUUUAUUUGCGCAGUAUAGGUGGGAGGCGUUGAGAAUAAUCUUGCGGGAUUGUUGGAGCCAUCAGUGAGAUACCACUCUUGUAAUGUUAGAUUUCUAACUUUGUAUCAUUAUCUGGUCAAAGAACAGUUUCAGGCGGGCAGUUUGACUGGGGCGGUCGCCUCCCAAAGGGUAACGGAGGCGCACAAAGGUUUCCUCUGAACGGGUAGAAAUCGUAUCUAGAGUGUAAAGGCAUAAGGAAGCUUGACUGUGAGACCUACAAGUCGAGCAGGGACGAAAGUCGGUCUUAGUGAUCUGACGGUGCUGAGUGGAAAGGCCGUCACUCAACGGAUAAAAGUUACUCUAGGAUAACAGGCUGAUCUCCCCCAAGAGUUCACAUCGACGGGGAGGUUUGGCACCUCGAUGUCGGCUCAUCGCAUCCUGGGGCGGUAGUCCGUCCCAAGGGUUGGGCUGUUCGCCCAUGAAAGCGGUACGCGAGCUGGGUUCAGAACGUCGUGAGACAGUUCGGUCCAUAUCCGGUGUAGGCGUUAGAAUAUUGAGAGGAGCCUUCUCUAGUACGAGAGGACCGAGAAGGACAUACCUCUGGUGUACCAGUUAUCGUGCCAACGGUAAACGCUGGGUAGCUAUGUAUGGAGUGGAUAACCGCUGAAAGCAUCUAAGUGGGAAGCCCACCUCAAGAUAAG